RNAcentral lists this ribosomal RNA (450 nucleotides) under uncultured Glomus. Its description in RNAcentral is "SSU rRNA". It matches the Rfam family "Eukaryotic small subunit ribosomal RNA", at positions 548 to 1002 of the family's 1831-position model. Lineage: Eukaryota; Fungi; Glomeromycota; Glomeromycetes; Glomerales; Glomeraceae. The record is from RNAcentral.
UUGGAGGGCAAGUCUGGUGCCAGCAGCCGCGGUAAUUCCAGCUCCUAUAGCGUAUAUUAAAGUUGUUGCAGUUAAAAAGCUCGUAGUUGAAUUUCGGGGUCAGUAGUUUGGUCAUGCCACAGGUAUGUACUGAUCUUACUGAUUCCUCCUUCCUGAUGAACCGUAAUGCCAUUAAUUUGGUGUUGCGGGGAAACUGGACUGUUACUUUGAAAAAAUUAGAGUGUUUAAAGCAGGCUAACGCUUGAAUACAUUAGCAUGGAAUAAUGAAAUAGGACGUUCGAUCCUAUUUUGUUGGUUUCUAGGAUUGACGUAACGAUUAAUAGGGAUAGUUGGGGGCAUUAGUAUUCAAUUGUCAGAGGUGAAAUUCUUGGAUUUAUUGAAGACUAACUACUGCGAAAGCAUUUGCCAAGGAUGUUUUCAUUAAUCAAGAACGAAAGUUAGGGGAUCGAA